Molecule: ribosomal RNA, 229 nt
Filed under: uncultured bacterium
Lineage: Bacteria
Description: partial 16S ribosomal RNA
Rfam family: Bacterial small subunit ribosomal RNA
Source: RNAcentral
UCCGUAGGCGGGCUAAUAAGUCAGAGGUGAAAUCCCGCAGCUCAACUGUGGAACUGCCUUUGAAACUGUUAGUCUUGAGUUAUUGUGAAGUGGUUAGAAUAUGUAGUGUAGCGGUGAAAUGCUUAGAGAUUACAUGGAAUACCGAUUGCGAAGGCAGAUCACUAACAAUAUACUGACGCUGAUGGACGAAAGCGUGGGGAGCGAACAGGAUUAGAUACCCUGGUAGUCC